RNAcentral lists this ribosomal RNA (497 nucleotides) under uncultured bacterium. Its description in RNAcentral is "partial 16S ribosomal RNA". It matches the Rfam family "Bacterial small subunit ribosomal RNA", at positions 28 to 507 of the family's 1533-position model. The record is from RNAcentral.
GAUGAACGCUGGCGGCGUGCCUAAUACAUGCAAGUCGAGCGAACGGACGAGAAGCUUGCUUUUCUGAUGUUAGCGGCGGACGGGUGAGUAACACGUGGAUAACCUACCUAUAAGACUGGGAUCACUUCGGGAAACCGGCGCUAAUCCCGGAUAAUAUUUUGAACCGCAUGGUUCAAAAGUGAAAGACGGCCUUGCUGUCACUUCUCGCUGCAUCCGCGCUGCAUUAGCUAGUUGGUAAGGUAACGGCGUACCACGGCAACGAUGCAUAGCCGACCUGAGAGGGGGAUCGGCGACACGGGAAGUGAGACACGGUCCAGACUCCUGCGGGAGGCAGCAGUAGGGAAUCGGCCGCAAUGGGCGAAAGCCUGACGGAGCGACGGCGCGUGAGUGAUGAAGGUCUUCGGAUCGUAAAACUCUGUUAUUAGGGAAGAACAGAUGUGUAAGUAACUGUGCAGAGCGUGGCGGUACCGAAUCAGAAAGCCACGGCUAACUACGUG